UCGCUACUACCGAUUGGACGUUUUGGUGAGGCUCAGGGAAUGCGGCACUUUAGGGUUCGCCCAGAAGAGCUGUGUGAACUGAAACAAACCUGAGCGUCUAGAGGAAGUAA
Molecule: ribosomal RNA, 110 nt
Filed under: uncultured eukaryote
Lineage: Eukaryota
Description: partial small subunit ribosomal RNA
Rfam family: Eukaryotic small subunit ribosomal RNA
Source: RNAcentral